This 532-nucleotide ribosomal RNA is filed under the name uncultured archaeon. RNAcentral's name for it is "bacterial SSU rRNA". It matches the Rfam family "Archaeal small subunit ribosomal RNA", at positions 327 to 859 of the family's 1478-position model. The record is from RNAcentral.
GGGGCGCAGCAGGCGCGAAACCUCCGCAAUGUGAGAAAUCGCGACGGGGGGAUCCCAAGUGCCAUUCUUAACGGGAUGGCUUUUCAUUAGUGUAAAAAGCUUUUGGAGUAAGAGCUGGGCAAGACCGGUGCCAGCCGCCGCGGUAGCACCGGCAGCUCUAGUGGUAGCAACUUUUAUUGGGCCUAAAGCGUCCGUAGCCGGCUUAAUAAGUCUCUGGUGAAAUCCUGUAGCUUAACUGUGGGAAUUGCUGGAGAUACUAUUAGACUUGAGACCGGGAGAGGUUGGAGGUACUCCCAGGGUAGAGGUGAAAUUCUGUAAUCCUGGGAGGACCGCCUGUUGCGAAGGCGUCUAACUGGAACGGUUCUGACGGUGAGGGACGAAAGUUAGGGGCGCGAACCGGAUUAGAUACCCGGGUAGUCCUAACUGUAAACGAUGCGGACUUGGUGUUGGGGUGGCUUUGAGCUGUCCCAGUGCCGAAGGGAAGCUGUUAAGUCCGCCGCCUGGGAAGUACGGUCGCAAGACUGAAACUUAA